GUUUAUACCACGUGUGGUAUAAACAGAUUGUUAAUCAACAGCUGUAAUGAUUAACUGAUGGUCUGAGAGUUGAUUAACACGGCGUAUUGUGGUAGAAAUUAAUAUCCUGUAAACGUAUUUACUCACAGUAUAUUUAGAAAAUGAUUGCUGGACAACAAAUGUUUUACACUUUAUACCUGUUUAACAUUGACAUGUCCUCCAGUAGUGUGAAAUGGUGUAGACAUUAUACGAGUCUGUGAUAAUUUGUAUGAAGUAAAAUGUGUUUGAUAAAAGUACCAUAAAUAUUUCACCACCACCUGGACAAACUGACAAAUUAUCUCUGGGAUAACUUCCCUAAUGAUGAGUUAGUAGUAGAAAUUUUAGUGCUCUAAAGUAACCAGAGUGGUGAAAGUUCCAGUAGGUUAACAUUUCUGAUUGAUCAGAUCACAGAUUACAAGUCCAGGAUCUGAUAUAGCGAUAGUUAACUUAUCUAGUUGGAGUUCUCAUUUUUUCAUCAAAUGAUGAAUCUUGCUUCAGAUUGAAUCUUGAAAUAAAAUAUUUUUUAUUUGUGAUUUAUAUAUUUAAAAUAAUCAGUAUUAAUUUGUUUUAUCUCCGACUGUCGCGAUGUACAGUAAACAAGGACUUCUCUGAAUCAGCUGUAGAUAGUAAGGGGAGGUAAUCCUUCAGUUGUUUCCUAACUAAGGUUUAGAAUUGGUUUCUGAUAAUGAAAAGGUCUCAUGUUUUUUUUAAAUUUGUUAUAUUUAUUUCCAUUAUAGUAUAAACUUAAUUGCUAAGUGUGUAUAGAAUUGUUUUUCUUGAAUGAUUUUAGAUUUAUUACCCAAUAAUGUUCAAUAAUGUUCAACAAUAUCUAAAUAUACUUUUUGAAGUCUUGAAGUAUGUUUGUUAAAUUUUCUUAGGAAAUCAAUAGAAUUUUUUUUUUGCUGAAACAUGAUAAGAAGCUAUGCUACCUAUUUCUGAUUAUAAUCUUUCCUUUGUUUAAAAUUUAUGUAUUAUAAUAUGUUCUUACUGUCCGAUGUUGAGGUGGUAAUGACUUUAUUGCUGGUUUCAUGAAUAUAUAAAUCCAAUACUGAUAGUGCUGAUAUGUAGGUAGGACUGAUAGUACUGAUAUGUAGGUAGGACGCAGGGACAGAUAGUACUGAUAUGUAGGUAGGACACACUGACUGAUAGUACUGAUAUGUAGGUAGGACACACGGACUGAUAGUACUGAUAUGUAGGUAGGGCACACAGACUGAUAGUACUGAUAUGUAGGUAGGACACACAGACUGAUAGUGCUGAUAUGUAGGUAGGACACACAGACUGAUAGUGCUGAUAUGUAGGUAGGACACAGGGACUGAUAGUACUGAUAUGUAGGUAGGACUGAUAGUACUGAUAUGUAGGUAGGACACAGGGACUGAUAGUACUGAUAUGUAGGUAGGACACACAGACUGAUAGACUGAUAUGUAGGUAGGACACAGGGACUGAUAGUACUGAUAUGUAGGUAGGACACAGUGACUGAUAGUACUGAUAUGUAGGUAGGACACAGGGACUGAUAGUACUGAUAUGUAGGUAGGACACACGGACUGAUAGUACUGAUAUGUAGGUAGGACAGAGGGACUGAUAGUACUGAGAUGUAGGUAGGACACACAGACUGAUAGUGCUGAUAUGUAGGUAGGACACAGUGACUGAUAGUGCUGAUAUGUAGGUAGGACACAGGGACUGAUAGUACUGAUAUGUAGGUAGGACACAGGGACUGAUAGUACUGAUAUGUAGGUAGGACACAGGGACUGAUAGUACUGAUAUGUAGGUAGGACACACAGACUGAUAGUACUGAUAUGUAGGUAGGACACACAGACUGAUAGUGCUGAUAUGUAGGUAGGACACACAGACUGAUAGUGCUGAUAUGUAGGUAGGACACAGGGACUGAUAGUACUGAUAUGUAGGUAGGACACACAGACUGAUAGUACUGAUAUGUAGGUAGGACACACAGGGACUGAUAGUACUGAUAUGUAGGUAGGACACAGGAACUGAUAGUACUGAUAUGUAGGUAGGACACAGGGACUGAUAGUACUGAUAUGAAGGUAGGACACACAGACUGAUAGUACUGAUAUGUAGGUAGGACACAGGGACUGAUAGUACUGAUAUGUAGGUAGGACACAGGAACUGAUAGUACUGAUAUGUAGGUAGGACACAGUGACUGAUAGUACUGAUAUGUAGGUAGGACACAGGGACUGAUAGUACUGAUAUGUAGGUAGGACACACGGACUGAUAGUACUGAUAUGUAGAUAGGACACAGGGACUGAUAGUACUGAUAUGUAGGUAGGACACAGGGACUGAUAGUACUGAUAUGUAGGUAGGACACACUGACUGAUAGUACUGAUAUGUAGGUAGGACACAGGGACUGAUAGUACUGAUAUGUAGGUAGGACAUUCAGACUGAUAGUACUGAUAUGUAGGUAGGACACAGGGACUGAUAGUGCUGAUCAAUAUGUAGGUAGAACACAGGGACUGAUAGUGCUGAUAUGUAGGUAGGACACAGGGACUGAUAGUACUGAUAUGUAGGUAGGACACACGGACUGAUAGUACUGAUAUGUAGGUAGGACAGAGGGACUGAUAGUACUGAGAUGUAGGUAGGACACACAGACUGAUAGUGCUGAUAUGUAGGUAGGACACAGUGACUGAUAGUGCUGAUAUGUAGGUAGGACACAGGGACUGAUAGUACUGAUAUGUAGGUAGGACUGAUAGUACUGAUAUGUAGGUAGGACUGAUAGUACUGAUAUGUAGGUAGGACACAGGGACUGAUAGUACUGAUAUGUAGGUAGGACACAGGAACUGAUAGUACUGAUAUGUAGGUAGGACACACAGACUGAUAGUACUGAGAUGUAGGUAGGACACACAGGGACUGAUAGUACUGAUAUGUAGGUAGGACACAGGAACUGAUAGUACUGAUAUGUAGGUAGGACACAGGGACUGAUAGUACUGAUAUGAAGGUAGGACACACAGACUGAUAGUACUGAUAUGUAGGUAGGACACAGGGACUGAUAGUACUGAUAUGUAGGUAGGACACAGGAACUGAUAGUACUGAUAUGUAGGUAGGACACAGUGACUGAUAUGUAGGUAGGACACAGGGACUGAUAGUACUGAUAUGUAGGUAGGACACACGGACUGAUAGUACUGAUAUGUAGAUAGGACACAGGGACUGAUAGUACUGAUAUGUAGGUAGGACACAGGGACUGAUAGUACUGAUAUGUAGGUAGGACACACUGACUGAUAGUACUGAUAUGUAGGUAGGACACAGGGACUGAUAGUACUGAUAUGUAGGUAGGACAUUCAGACUGAUAGUACUGAUAUGUAGGUAGGACACAGGGACUGAUAGUGCUGAUCAAUAUGUAGGUAGAACACAGGGACUGAUAGUGCUGAUAUGUAGGUAGGACACAGGGACUGAUAGUACUGAUAUGUAGGUAGAACACACGGACUGAUAGUACUGAUAUGUAGGUAGGACAGAGGGACUGAUAGUACUGAGAUGUAGGUAGGACACAGGGACUGAUAGUACUGAUAUGUAGGUAGGACACACUGACUGAUAGUACUGAUAUGUAGAUAGGACACAGGGACUGAUAGUACUGAUAUGUAGGUAGGACACAGGGACUGAUAGUACUGAUAUGUAGGUAGGACACAGGGACUGAUAGUACUGAUAUGUAGGUAGGACACACGGACUGAUAGUACUGAUAUGUAGGUAGGACAGAGGGACUGAUAGUACUGAGAUGUAGGUAGGACACACAGGGACUGAUAAUACUGAUAUGUAGGUAGGACACAGGUACUGUUUCAUCAGAAAUAUAUUAUUGUUGUACAUCACUGCAAUGGCUUUCAGCUUUUAAUCCAUUUUGUCAAAAUAAUAUGUUAUAAACAUGUGUAUUUUGUAUAUAUGGUGAAAGAUUCCCAACAUAUAUAAUACACAUGUUAACAACACAAUACUUAUGUGGAAUCUUACCAUAAAAUACAGUUUCCAGUCCUGAUGAUACAGGGUUCCCUAUUCCACCCUGAAGAGUGCAUUACACAUAUUAGCUAUUUCAUUAAUGUUGUAUUAAGUGUUAAUGUGAUGUUCAUGACCUAAAUCAUCUGUCUAUCAUAAUAGUUGAUUGUUUAACCAUUUUUGGGAAGAAAUUAGUUAUAAAACAUCAGGUUAUUAGUAAAACAGAAAAUGGAAUUGGAAAAAUUUCUAUUUUUGAUUUCUCCAUACAGUGUUGUUUACUGUAAAUCACUUAUAUUUUGUGUCCCAGAUAAUUUCGGCAAGGAUUGUAUUUCUGAUCACAGGGGCUUGGCACGAUUUUCUGAAUGAUGGUCCAUAUAUAUGUAUGUAUUAUAGUGUUAUUGCACGAUUUUUCAAAUGACGGUCCAUACAUAUAUGUAUUAUUAUAGUGUAAUACAUAUAUAUAUAUAUAUAUAUGGACCAUCAUUUGGAAAAUCGUGCCAAGCCCCUGUGUUUCUGAUUUACAAAUCAGACACUGAUGCCUAAGUAUGCAUGUAUAUACAGUGAAACCUGUCUAAUCCGACACCAUGUGGGAGUGACAGUUUUGGUCAGAUUAUACAGGGUGUCGGAAGAGUCCGGUAUUGUUGUUCACUACACUUGGCAUCAUGGGAAUACGGUACAGUGUCGGAUUAGACUUGAUGUCGGAAAAGUCAGUUGUCGGAUAAGACAGGUUUCAUUGUACAUAUUGGCAUGUGGGAUAUGCUCAUUUUUAGAUGAAUUCAUAUACAUGUUAACAAAGUCUAAGAUGUGUUUUUGGUUCCUUAUUCCAGGAGCAUCCUCUCAUUAAGAGCUAAUUAUGUAAUAAUGAGUGAUAUAUCAGCCAGUGUUAUGAUAUUUACAUGUUGACAAGUUUUCAAUAUUAGCAUUUAUUUUGUCAACAUGUUUAUCGGGUAUGCAAUUUACAUUACAAUUAGCAUUUUAAUGUACUCGGUGUAUAAAUAUGUAUGUUAGUAUUACAUAGCUUUAGUAUAAAUACUAUUAUGUUGGCUUUAAGGCUUUUACUGCCCAAGAUGGCUCACAACUUUAAUUCCAAUCAGAACAAAAAUCUAUUUAGUGACAAUCAAUUUUUAGUUGAAACUUUCUUAUCAAUAAGUUGAACAAAUUUGUUCGUUACCAAGAGUCUACCAGGUUUAAGUCUUGUAUGUCAUGAAGACAAUGUAUCAAAAGUUGUUCUUACAUUUUGUAUUUCAUUAAUUAAGAUCAUUGAAAUAUAAGUUGAUGUGCUUUAUCACUUAAAUUAAGACAAAAGAUAAAAAGAAAAGUUUUCCUGCAUUUUGACAGCAUGCAUUGGUUUGGCCUUAAAAGUGUUGUGGUAAUGUUGGACAAAAAUGACAUGAAGAUAUGGUUAUUUUAACUUAGAUGUUCGAAAAGCAUUUGCUACAAAAUCUUUCAUUUUACCAUGCAAAUAAGUAAAUGAAAACAGUUAAUAAGACAAAGGGGAGACAACUCUAGGUACCUUAAUUGUGAAUCCAGAUUAAAAUCCAUUUCACUGUGUACUUGUGAAGCAUUAGAUUUGAUCUAUUGCCAGUUUUAUCAGUCUCAAACUCUGUACUCUAAUAUAUAAAACUUAUUAAAAGAAUUACAUGUAUAUGUGUAUCUUCCUGAAGUAUGAAUUUAUUUUCCUUACUUGUAUAUAGAACCUUCAAUCUGUCAGCCAUUUCCAGAUGAUGUUGGCUUGUGUCAAAAUCCAGGUAGAACACUAUACUAUCAAUAAGUAUUUAUAAAUGCCCUUUUAAAUUUCUGUUUCUCUUUUCUUUUAAGAGGACCCAAUGAUUGAUAAAAAAAACUUGAAGACACAAGGGAGAGACGCUGUCAAUAUGGAGUAGUUUGCCAAUUUUCAUCGGUCCUGAUUUUCAUUUACAUUGUAUUAAAAAUUAUUUUCUGUAGUUUCUGAUUUGUUCAAUUUAAAAAAACAACUAGAUGCAGGUUUUUGAUGCUGUUUAAAAGAAAAAUAUAGUUGAAUUAUGAGGUGUUGCAAUUUAAAUAAGCUAAAAUUAUGUAAUAUACCAUACAAAAAGAUUUAGUAUGGAAUACAUUAUUUUAAAAUCUGAAAUGAGUAGCGGUAGAUUAUGUUUAUUAAAAUAUGACUUAACGAAACUGCCAUAUGAUAUGAACAUGAUGUUUCUUCUUAUGAUUCCGGAACUCUCAAUUAUAGAGGUAUACAAGGCAUACAAUUGUGGUUAACUUAAGACAACAUCUGUAUACACAGGUGGAAUGGGAGGAGGAUGUUACAGCUGUGUUAUUUGGUACACAUAGAUACAUUAAUAUAUUCACACUAAGGUGGCAUGGCUUAUAGAUCUGUCAAUAUGUUUCCUUGACCCAAGACUAUCUGAUAUAUGGUCAGGAAAGAAUGUGAAUAUGAUCAUUUCUAUUGAUACGUAUAUACCUACACAAGCAUGUAGAACAUCAUAAUUUAAACCUGUCUAAUCCAAUACCUAGUCGUUCUAGCAUCCUUAUUCAGUUUUCUAUUUGGGGGCCACAAUAGCUCCGUCGGUUAGAACACCCAACAAUGUUACCUCAGAUGAAGAUCCGAGGUGCUGGUUCGACGAUCUCUACUCAUGUCAGUUUGUGUUUCUCGGAAAGCUGAGGAACUGGCCACUUUGUGAAGUAGUGGUUGUGUCCAUGCAAGACACUUUACCCUUAUUGCUCUGGAUGACUUGCGACGGAACUCUCAUAUGUUAUUUACCGAGAUAGUCACCUACUUCUACAAGGAAACCGGCGACCUCAAAAUGACCCUGGCAGUUCACUAUAAAAAAUAACUUGAAGUUGAUAUAUUGUAUUAUUGUCAAUCUAUCUGUAAAUAGUAAUUCAGUUCCAAAGGGGUAGUUAGAUAUAAACAGUUCAUCUGGUGUUUUAUGUCUAACAGGCUUUUGAUUGGACAGGUUAAUCUUGUCGGUAUGUUAAGUCUGACAGGUUUCAGAUUAGACAGGUUAAUCUGUCCGGUAUGUUGAGUCUGACAGGUUUCAGGUUAGACAGGUUAAUCUGUCGGUAUGUUGAGUCUGACAGGUUUCAGGUUAGACAGGUUAAUCUGUCGGUAUGUUGAGUCUGACAGGUUUCAGAUUAGACAGGUUAAUCUGUCCGGUAUGUUGAGUCUGACAGGUUUCAGAUUAGACAGGUUAAUCUGGUCGUUAUGUCGAGUCUGACAUGUUUCAGAUUAGACAGGUUAAUCUGUCCGGUAUGUUGAGUCUGACAGGUUUCAGAUUAGACAGGUUAAUAUGGUCGUUAUGUCGAGUCCGACAUGUUUCAGAUUAGACAGGUUAAUCUGUCCGGUAUUUUGAGUCUGACAGGUUUCAGAUUAGACCGGAUCUUAAGGUUUCAGAUUAGACAGGUUAAUCUGGUCGGUAUGUUGAGUCUGACAGGUUUCAGAUUAGACAGGUUAAUCUGGUCGGUAUGUUGUGUCUGACAGGUUUCAGAUUAGACAGGUUAAUCUGGUCGUUAUGUUGAGUCUGACAGGUUUCAGAUUAGACAGGUUAAUCUGGUCGGUAUGUUGAGUCUGACAGGUUUCAGAUUAGACAGGAUCUUCCAUUGGGGUGUCAAAUUAAACUGGUCGCACUGUUAUAACUACAUGUAGGUAUGUCAAAAUAAUAAUUGACGCUGUAUUUAAUGGUAUAUUGUACAAAUAAAAUAUAUUGUUGUUGCA
This is a long non-coding RNA of Pecten maximus, 7642 nucleotides long. RefSeq lists it as uncharacterized. The transcript has 5 exons. Lineage: Eukaryota; Metazoa; Mollusca; Bivalvia; Pectinida; Pectinidae. The record is from RefSeq and is a predicted model, not a curated record.